Stegodyphus mimosarum is the source of this 73-nucleotide non-coding RNA. NCBI's taxonomy places the organism in Eukaryota, Metazoa, Arthropoda, Arachnida, Araneae, Eresidae. The record is from Rfam.
GCCUUCGUGGUGUAGUGGUCAGCACGCUCGACGCGUAACCGAGAGGUCCGUGGUUCGAUUCCCGGCGAAGGCU